CCUGAACCCAGGAGGCGGAGGUUGCGAUGAGCCAAGAUCGCACCAUUGCACUCCAGCCUGGGUAACAAGAGCGAAACUCCGUCUCAAAAAAAAAAAAAAAAAAGAAUUCUCCCAUGGUCCUCUGUUUGCACUGUGCUUAGGAAGGAGCGUGCAGACCCAUGUGAGUAAUGGUCAAAGCUCUUGUCUUGGUGGUUUGUUGAAGACUAUGUCAUAUAUUAUAAAAUAGUUUUUAAUAGGCCAGGUGUGGUGGCUCACCCCUGUAAUCCCAGCACUUUGGGAGGCUGCGGCGGGUGAAUCACCUGAGGUCAGGAGUUUGAGACCAGCCUGGCCAACAUGGUGAAACCGUGUCUCUACUAAAUAUACAAAAAUCAGCUGGAUAUGGUGGUGGGUGCCUGUAGUCCCAGCUACUUGGGAGGUUGAGGCAGGAGAAUCACUUGAACCCGGGAGGUGAAGGUUGCAGUGAGCUGAGAUUGCACCACCGCCCUCCAGCCUGCGCAACAGAGUGAGACUCCAUCUCAAAACAAAAGUGUGUAAUAUGAAGAUGGCCAGUGUUAUCCCUAUGACAGAUAUGAGAGUUAUAUAAAGUAUUAUAUUGGUAAUGCAUAGAUGAAAACCUGAGGGCAAUUAAUAAAACAGACAUAUCAGUGUUAGAAUGAUUCUGGAUACAGAGAUGGAAUAUCCAGGUUAUUCUUGGGUUUUUUUUUUUUUAAUCAUAGGAACUUAGUAAGUUAACGAGUCAGUCAACAGACAAGAAAGAGUGAGUGGAGACAGAGAUGAUCCGUCCUAGACUGAUGAUGACUGCUGGUGGCAUAUGAGCCUUAUACGAUGAAUAUGUGUCUGGAACUCUGAGGUCCAGCACAAAAGAAAUUGAGCUCAUUCUGGAAGAUGACAAGCACUGAUCAAGGAGGACUGUCUCGUCUGUUUGUGAUCUGCUCUGCUCUGUGAGCCUCGGGAUGGAUGUUCGCCAGCUGAUCCCAUGGUUACAAGCUCUGUGGCUGCAUCUAUGCGUUCGGAGCGUGCAGACCAAUAAUGGAUGCACUGAGCUGAUUUUGAAUUUAGCCCUGAUCAAGAUCCGUGUUGUCCUUACAUGA
This 1091-nucleotide long non-coding RNA is filed under the name Saimiri boliviensis boliviensis (Bolivian squirrel monkey). RNAcentral describes it as "lncRNA (ENSSBOG00000036670.1)". The stretch from base 785 to 856 matches the Rfam family "Small nucleolar RNA SNORD113/SNORD114 family". Lineage: Eukaryota; Metazoa; Chordata; Mammalia; Primates; Cebidae. The record is from RNAcentral.